RNAcentral lists this long non-coding RNA (424 nucleotides) under Equus caballus (horse). RNAcentral describes it as "lncRNA (ENSECAG00000058661.1)". The record is from RNAcentral. Lineage: Eukaryota; Metazoa; Chordata; Mammalia; Perissodactyla; Equidae.
CAGCUCUACCAGCUGAGACGGGUACAGUCUGGUUCUCUUCCUCCAUUUUUGCUGGGUUGCCGUCCUCACCUGGGAGUGCACAUCAGGAUGGUCCAGGACAAUCCCAGGCAGCUACAAAAGGCAUAUUUGAUAAUGCAUGCACAGGAGGAGAGCACCACCGAUCUGCAAAGUGGGAGAUACAACCGGAAGCAGCAAAAACAAUAGAAAACUGUUAAAAGAUGACUCUUUCAGGCCUGAGAAGUUGCAAUGAACCUGAGACUUUUCUGCACCUGGUGUGUGAGUUCUGAUACAAAGAAAGGGUAAUUCUGUUAUAAGAUGUGGCAAAACAGUGUGGCAUCUGCCAUGGCUUAGAGCAUGGAGGAGAGGCAUCGGAUGAAGCAGAGAAAAAUGAUGGUAAAGAAAAUCCCAAGGAAGAGGACUUUAC